RNAcentral lists this ribosomal RNA (443 nucleotides) under Echinocardium cordatum (sea potato). RNAcentral's name for it is "partial 16S ribosomal RNA". It matches the Rfam family "Bacterial large subunit ribosomal RNA", at positions 1830 to 2462 of the family's 2925-position model. The record is from RNAcentral. Lineage: Eukaryota; Metazoa; Echinodermata; Echinoidea; Spatangoida; Loveniidae.
CCUGAAAAAUAGGCAUAGGGGGUCCUGCCUGCCCAGUGACUGAAAAGUUAAACGGCCGCGGUAUCUUGACCGUGCGAAGGUAGCAUAAUCAUUUGUCUCCUAAAUAGAGACUGGUAUGAAUGGCAAGACGGAGCUUCACUGUCUCCUCCUCUUUGAUCUGAACUUCACAUUCCCGUGAAGAGGCGAGAAUUAGUUCGUAAGACGAGAAGACCCUGUCGAGCUGUAGCUAAAUUUUAAUUGUUGUUUACUAUUAGCCCUAACUAAUUAUAAUAAGAGUAGCAGGCCUAAAGCAUGACAAAUUAAAACAAGCUUUGAUUGGGGCAAUCCCGGAGAAAGAAAAUCCUCCGCUACUAUAUGGUUAUAUUAACCUAAAAUAAAAGAAUUAUUUUUCUUAAAUCAUAAAAAUGAAGAUAUGAUCCACUUACAGUGAUCAAAAGAACAAG